RNAcentral lists this ribosomal RNA (492 nucleotides) under uncultured bacterium. Its description in RNAcentral is "partial 16S ribosomal RNA". It matches the Rfam family "Bacterial small subunit ribosomal RNA", at positions 29 to 507 of the family's 1533-position model. The record is from RNAcentral.
AGUGAACGCUGGCGGUAGGCCUAACACAUGCAAGUCGAACGGCAGCACAGUAAGAGCUUGCUCUUACGGGUGGCGAGUGGCGGACGGGUGAGGAAUACAUCGGAAUCUACUUUUUCGUGGGGGAUAACGUAGGGAAACUUACGCUAAUACCGCAUACGACCUACGGGUGAAAGCAGGGGAUCUUCGGACCUUGCGCGAUUGAAUGAGCCGAUGUCGGAUUAGCUAGUUGGCGGGGUAAAGGCCCACCAAGGCGACGAUCCGUAGCUGGUCUGAGAGGAUGGUCCGCCACACUGGAACUGAGACUCGGUCCAGACUCCUACGGGAGGCAGCAGUGGGGAAUAUUGGACGAUGGGCGCAAGCCUGAUCCAGCCAUACCGCGUGGGUGAAGAAGGCCUUCGGGUUGUAAAGCCCUUUUGUUGGGAAAGAAAAGCAGCAGGUUAAUACCCCGCUGUUCUGACGGUACCCAAAGAAUAAGCACCGGCUAACUUCGUG